RNAcentral lists this ribosomal RNA (253 nucleotides) under uncultured bacterium. RNAcentral describes it as "partial 16S ribosomal RNA". It matches the Rfam family "Bacterial small subunit ribosomal RNA", at positions 524 to 776 of the family's 1533-position model. The record is from RNAcentral.
UACGUAGGGUGCGAGCGUUAUUCGGAAUUACUGGGCGUAAAGCGUGCGCAGGCGGUGAUGUAAGUCAGAUGUGAAAUCCCCGGGCUCAACCUGGGAACUGCAUUUGUGACUGCAUGGCUGGAGUGCGGCAGAGGGGGAUGGAAUUCCGCGUGUAGCAGUGAAAUGCGUAGAUAUGCGGAGGAACACCGAUGGCGAAGGCAAUCCCCUGGGCCUGCACUGACGCUCAUGCACGAAAGCGUGGGGAGCAAACAGG